RNAcentral lists this ribosomal RNA (253 nucleotides) under uncultured bacterium. RNAcentral's name for it is "partial 16S ribosomal RNA". It matches the Rfam family "Bacterial small subunit ribosomal RNA", at positions 524 to 776 of the family's 1533-position model. The record is from RNAcentral.
GACGUAGGGCGCGAGCGUUGUCCGGAUUUAUUGGGCGUAAAGAGCUCGUAGGCGGUGUGUCGCGUCUGCUGUGAAAACUCAGGGCUCAACUCUGAGCUUGCAGUGGGUACGGGCACACUUGAGUGCUGUAGGGGAGACUGGAAUUCCUGGUGUAGCGGUGAAAUGCGCAGAUAUCAGGAGGAACACCGGUGGCGAAGGCGGGUCUCUGGGCAGUUACUGACGCUGAGGAGCGAAAGCAUGGGGAGCGAACAGG